RNAcentral lists this non-coding RNA (166 nucleotides) under uncultured Cellulosilyticum sp. The record is from RNAcentral. Lineage: Bacteria; Bacillati; Bacillota; Clostridia; Lachnospirales; Cellulosilyticaceae.
CAUCGUGAGGUGGAAUCUGAAGGAAGUCAGCGGCAAAGCUUUGGUCUGAGGUACACGAAUCACAUUUGAGGCUGAUGUCUAUGGGUAAACUUGCUAAACAAAGUGAAGCCCUAUAACUAUCCGAAAAUAGACAGAGUAAAUGUGGCAGAUAUAUGAAGCGAAAGUG